This 270-nucleotide long non-coding RNA is filed under the name Mytilus galloprovincialis (Mediterranean mussel). The record is from RNAcentral. Lineage: Eukaryota; Metazoa; Mollusca; Bivalvia; Mytilida; Mytilidae.
GUUUUUGUGUUUUGGUCUGUUUUUCUUUUACUGUAUGCAAUAGGUCUACUAUAUGUGGUAUAUGGAAUGAUUUUAAGGUGUACAUGUCUAGCUGGCAGGUGUCAUCUGACCUUGACCUCAUUUUCAUGGUUCAGUGGUCAAAGUUAAGUUUUUGAGUUUUGGUCUUUUUUUCUAAUACUAUAUGCAAUAGGUCAACUAUAUUUGGUGUAUGGAAAUAUUUUAUGAUCUAUAUGUCAGUCGCGCAGAUUUUAUUUGACCUUGACCUCAUUU